Molecule: ribosomal RNA, 468 nt
Filed under: uncultured bacterium
Lineage: Bacteria
Description: partial 16S ribosomal RNA
Rfam family: Bacterial small subunit ribosomal RNA
Source: RNAcentral
GACGAACGCUGGCGGCGUGCUUAACACAUGCAAGUCGAACGGAAAGGCCCUGCUUUUGUGGGGUGCUCGAGUGGCGAACGGGAGAGUAACACGUGGGUAACCUGCCCUUGACUUUGGGAUAACUUCAGGAAACUGGGGCUAAUACCGGAUAGGAGCUCCUGCUGCAUGGUGGGGGUUGGAAAGUUUCGGCGGUUGGGGCUGGUUGCGCGGCUUAUCAGCUUGUUGGUGGGGUAGUGGAUUACGUAGGCUUUGACGGGUAGCCGGCCUGGGAGGGUGACCGGCCCCAUUGGGACUGAGAUACGGCCCAGACUCCUACGGGAGGCAGCAGUGGGGAAUAUUGCGCAAUGGGCGGGAGCCUGAUGCAGCAACGCCGCGUGCGGGAUGACGGCCUUCGGGUUGUAAACCGCUUUCGCCUGUGACGAAGCGUGAGUGGCGGUAAUGGGUAAAGAAGCACCGGCUAACUACGUG